This 509-nucleotide ribosomal RNA is filed under the name uncultured Sphingomonadaceae bacterium. RNAcentral's name for it is "bacterial SSU rRNA". It matches the Rfam family "Bacterial small subunit ribosomal RNA", at positions 85 to 629 of the family's 1533-position model. Lineage: Bacteria; Pseudomonadati; Pseudomonadota; Alphaproteobacteria; Sphingomonadales; Sphingomonadaceae. The record is from RNAcentral.
UUCGGGUCUAGUGGCGCACGGGUGCGUAACGCGUGGGAAUCUGCCCUUAGGUACGGAAUAACUCAGAGAAAUUUGUGCUAAUACCGUAUGAUGUCGAAAGACCAAAGAUUUAUCGCCUAAGGAUGAGCCCGCGUAAGAUUAGCUUGUUGGUGAGGUAAAAGCUCACCAAGGCGACGAUCUUUAGCUGGUCUGAGAGGAUGAUCAGCCACACUGGGACUGAGACACGGCCCAGACUCCUACGGGAGGCAGCAGUGGGGAAUAUUGGACAAUGGGCGAAAGCCUGAUCCAGCAAUGCCGCGUGAGUGAUGAAGGCCUUAGGGUUGUAAAGCUCUUUUACCAGGGAUGAUAAUGACAGUACCUGGAGAAUAAGCUCCGGCUAACUCCGUGCCAGCAGCCGCGGUAAUACGGAGGGAGCUAGCGUUGUUCGGAAUUACUGGGCGUAAAGAGUACGUAGGCGGUGAUUCAAGUCAGAGGUGAAAGCCUGGAGCUCAACUCCAGAACUGCCUUUG